Molecule: unclassified non-coding RNA, 216 nt
Filed under: uncultured Thelephoraceae
Lineage: Eukaryota; Fungi; Basidiomycota; Agaricomycetes; Thelephorales; Thelephoraceae
Description: sequence contains ITS2
Source: RNAcentral
ACAUCUCAACUCUCAUGGUUUUCCGUGAUGAGAUUGGACUUUGGGGGUUUUGUUGGCUUGCAUUCAGCUCCCCUGAAAUUAAUCAGCUUCCGGUGUUUGGUGGCAUCACAGGUGUGAUAACUAUCUACGCUUGCGACUGUUCACCAGGUGUCCUCCAGUUGUGGGGGCUCGCUGGGGCUUAUAGAUGUCUCUCCUCAGUGAAGACAGCCAUUUGAA